Molecule: non-coding RNA, 74 nt
Organism: Gymnothorax javanicus (giant moray)
Lineage: Eukaryota; Metazoa; Chordata; Actinopteri; Anguilliformes; Muraenidae
Source: the annotation of a GenBank genome assembly
GGCACGGUGGCAUAGUGGUUAGCACUGUUGCCUCACAGCAAGAAGGUCGUGGGUUCGAUUCUGGCCUAGGGCCU